CUUCGGUCUGGUGGCGAGUGGCGAACGGGUGAGUAAUGUAUCGAACGCCUUGCGGGCGGGGGAUAAUUCUACGCGAGUAGAGGCUACAUUACCGCAUACGCCCUUCGGGGGAAAGCGGGGACCUUUCGGGCCUCGCACUAUUAGGAGCGGCCGAUAUCGGAUUAGCUGGGGUUGGUGGGGUAACGGCUCACCAAGGCGACGAUCCGUAGCUGGUUUGAGAGAUUACCAGCCACACUGGGACCGGAGACACGGCCCAGACUCCUACGGGAGGCAGCAGUGGGGAAUUUGGACAAUGGGGAAACCCCUGAUCCAGCCAUAUCCGCGUGCGAUGAAGCCUUCGGGUUGUAAAGCACUUUUGGUAGAAGAAAUGCACGGGAUAAUACCCGUGCAACUGACGGUACCUGAGAAUAAGCACCGGCUAACUACGCCAGCAGCCGCGGUAAUACGUAGGUGCCGUUAAUCGGAAUUACUGGGCGUAAAGCGUGCAGGCGGUUCGAAAGAAAGAUGUGAAAUCCUUAUGAGCUUAACUUUGGAACUGCAUUUUUAACUACCGGACAGAGUGCCGAGGGAGGUGGAAUUCGCGUAGCAGUAAAGGUGUAGAUAUGUGGAGGAACACCAUUUACAGCCCUGUGGAUACCACCGACGCUCAUGCACGAAGUGGAGCAAAACAGAUUAGAUACCCUGGUAGUCCUCAAUGCCCUAAACGAUGUCAACUAGUUGUUGGGGCCUUCGCCUUGGUAGUGCAGCUAACGCGAAGUUGACCGCCUGGGGAGUACGGUCGCAAGAUUAAAACUCAAAGAAUGAUUGGGACCUGCACAAGCGGUGGAUGAUGGGAUUAAUUCGAUGCAACGGUGCAACUACCAGCCCUUGAUAUUGCCUGAAUCCCGAAGAGAUUUGGGAGUGCUCGCAAGAGAACCGAACACAGGUGCCGCUAUUGCUGUCAGCUGUGUCGAGAUGUUGUAAGCAAGUCCCGCAACGAGCGCAACCCUUGUCAUUAUUGCUACGAAAAGGGCACUCUAAUGAGACUGCUGGUGACAAACCGGAGAAGGUAUGACGUCGAGUCCUCAUGGCCUAUGGGUAGGGCUUCACACGUCAUACAAUGGUCGGGACAGAGGGUCGCCAACCUGCAGGGGAGCCAUCCAGAAACCCGAUCAAACCGGAUCGCAGUCUGCAACUGACUGCGGGGGCUGAAUCGCUAGUAAUCGCGGAUCAGCAUGUCGCGGUGAAUACGUUCCUGGCCUGCACACACCGCCUGGUCACCAAGCGGGAGUGGGUUUUACCAUAGAAGUAGUUAGCCUAACCGUAAGGAGGGCACUUACCACGUGAUUCCAUGAUCGGGGUGAAGUCGUAACGGGGCGUAA
Molecule: ribosomal RNA, 1361 nt
Filed under: uncultured Bordetella sp.
Lineage: Bacteria; Pseudomonadati; Pseudomonadota; Betaproteobacteria; Burkholderiales; Alcaligenaceae
Description: partial 16S-23S ribosomal RNA intergenic spacer
Rfam family: Bacterial small subunit ribosomal RNA
Source: RNAcentral